Molecule: ribosomal RNA, 445 nt
Filed under: uncultured bacterium
Lineage: Bacteria
Description: bacterial SSU rRNA
Rfam family: Bacterial small subunit ribosomal RNA
Source: RNAcentral
AACGAACGCUGGCGGCAGGCUUAACACAUGCAAGUCGAACGAGAAGCUAGAGCUUGCUCUAGUGGAAAGUGGCAGACGGGUGAGUAACGCGUGGGAACCUACCUAGUGUACGGAAUAACUCAGGGAAACUUGAGCUAAUACCGUAUGUGCCCUUCGGGGGAAAGAGUUUAUCGCCAUUAGAUGGGCCCGCGUCAGAUUAGCUAGUUGGUGAGGUAACGGCUCACCAAGGCGACGAUCUGUAGCUGGUCUGAGAGGAUGAUCAGCCACACUGGGACUGAGACACGGCCCAGACUCCUACGGGAGGCAGCAGUGGGGAAUAUUGCACAAUGGGCGCAAGCCUGAUGCAGCCAUGCCGCGUGAGUGAUGAAGGCCUUAGGGUUGUAAAGCUCUUUCACCGGCGAAGAUAAUGACGGUAACCGGAGAAGAAGCCCCGGCUAACUUCGUG